GAGGAGGUUGAAUGUGAAGCAGCAGUAU
Molecule: non-coding RNA, 28 nt
Filed under: Cricetulus griseus (Chinese hamster)
Lineage: Eukaryota; Metazoa; Chordata; Mammalia; Rodentia; Cricetidae
Source: RNAcentral